Molecule: ribosomal RNA, 348 nt
Filed under: Triticum aestivum (bread wheat)
Lineage: Eukaryota; Viridiplantae; Streptophyta; Magnoliopsida; Poales; Poaceae
Description: partial small subunit ribosomal RNA
Source: RNAcentral
AUGCAAAUAGAUAAGUAUGGGUGUAGACUUGUGAAUUUCUCUAGUCUAACUCACACUGGUAAAAAGGCAGAGGAUGAACCUUUUGUAUUUGCCAAUCAAGUUGACCAAGUAUUCUACGUGGAUGACCAUCUUUAUCCAGGAUGGUUAAUUGUUUUGAAGAUGAUGCCUCGAGAUAAUUUUGAUAUGGGUGAAGAAUGGAAUGAUGUGGAAACAGAACCUUAUCAUGUCAGUAAAUUCUUUCAGCUUUUUGAUACUGCCCAUCAGAAACAAAAUUGGAUGAGAAGGGAUAUAGAGGGAGAAACUGUAGAUGCUCCUAUAGUGUCAAGUGAUGACACAGUACCUGAAUAA